Lontra canadensis (Northern American river otter) is the source of this 343-nucleotide long non-coding RNA. RefSeq lists it as uncharacterized. The transcript is spliced from 2 exons. NCBI's taxonomy places the organism in Eukaryota, Metazoa, Chordata, Mammalia, Carnivora, Mustelidae. The record is from RefSeq and is a predicted model, not a curated record.
CAGAGCUAAUGGCAAGAAACAGAUGGAGAAUGAAGGGUGAGGGGCUAAGGCCAUCUGAUGAGGUGGGAGCAGGGUGACGACAGGAGUGACAGACUGUCCUGUCAGGGGUUUGUGCAGACUGGAUACAUCAGGCCAUCAGGAGCUCCACUCCCUCAGACACCUCCCCGGACAGUCAAACUAACCCACCUCAUCAAGGCACUGGCCCAGACUACUGAAGAGCUACUCUAAUCCACCACCACGAUCCGUUCUGACCCUGGUGAGGUUGCAGUGAUGACACACUUUCUUUUUACUACACUGAAAGAGCCUCACCAGCAUGUGGUUUCUCUAAUGGGGAAUAAUGCCC